RNAcentral lists this long non-coding RNA (3629 nucleotides) under Hordeum vulgare. RNAcentral describes it as "long non-coding RNA (HVUL_LNC013052)". Lineage: Eukaryota; Viridiplantae; Streptophyta; Magnoliopsida; Poales; Poaceae. The record is from RNAcentral.
ACGACUGCAUGGGGCAAGUUGAUUGGUAAGGUUUCAGUUUGACAGAUCAGUUGAUGUUAAAACGGGGCAUGCAUGCAAAAGCUUGACAGCCAGUACAUAUGCUUCUUUUACUCAACGUCUAACCAUGCUUAGCUGCAAUCCACCACGAUAACUUAUUUAAAUAGGAGCACACCAAGUUUCCAGCUCAUCGAGAUCCUGAGUCCUGAUGCUACUCCUUAAACAUUGGUGAUUCAGCCUGCACAACUAGAUGCGAUUUGCAUCAUGGCAGAGAGAUGCAUGGGGAUUAGGUCAAAAGAAGGGAAAAAUGCUGCUACUAGAUCUUAGACAUCCUCCUUUCUCUGUAGAACUGUGAUAUACUCCUUGCAUACUAAUACUAGUAGACCGUGCGGCGAAAACACAAUUCGUUUCAUAAACAUGUCGGUGUUAGGUUAGUCGAUUAGGUAGCGCACGGAAACUAAACCAUACUGCGAGCUGUAGUGGUACAAGUACAACAUGUCCACUUAUUUAAGACAAGAUAAGGGGCACGAUAAGGGGCACGAUAAAACAUUUCAUGAUGCAGCUCAUCGGGCUAUUUUUAAGGAUAACCUCGAGUGUCAACGGCCAUCGAAUUUGGACGCCAAUCCCUAGCAAACGUUCGCUGGGGGCAAAGCAUUUACGAACAGCCCCAUGGCAGUUCUGUGUGUACGGGGUGACGCUGGAUUGGCUUUUUUUAACAUAGUAUAAAUGUAAACGUUCAUAUAUAUAUUUUUAUAAGUAUCUCUGAGAGACUGAAUCGACAAAAGUGUUUUCCUCUCUCCACUCGCGGCUGGAACCAUAGCCACCGCCAGGAGAGGACAAUCUUCCAGGACUGUCCUACGACGACUUUCCUCCGCCGACUACCCCGAUCGCCGGUGGUGAGGAUGGUCGCCGGAUCCACGUGUGUGGAUCGUUUUAAGUUUUUGUGGUCUAGGUUUUUAGAUUGUUCAUCGUCUUGGCUUCGACAGCGGCGAUGACUACGCUGAAUAAUGAUUAUUCGGAUCCUUCCCUGAUGAGGCCAUCGGCCCUAUGGUUGGGAAUGGAUUUAGAAACCAGUCUGUUCAAGCAAGGAUGAGUGACGACGGCGGCAUCAUCGUGGUGGACCUGUGUCCUCGGGCUCCGCCGUUGCGACGGUGUUUGCUCCAGCGUCGGCGCGGAGCUUGGGAGGUAGUCCAGGAGCGGAUGUAGAUUGUGGUCUGCAUCAACGACACCUGGAAGACGGAACGUGUGUUGGGUUUGUGGUCCGUGGAUGGCAGGUAUGGUUUCCUACUUCGGCGUCUUAGUCGUGAUGGGGUGUCAGAUCUGGAGUUUGAUGGCGUGUCCGGGGUGUUGCCCUAGUCUAAUUCAUUCAACGGCAAGGGCUUCACUUUUGAUGAGCCACCUUGAAGGUCCGUAAAGUUGCAUAUCAGCGUGGAGCCGCGUCGAGCUCGGGUGAGAAGGUUAUUCGAUGGCUCCUGUGGUGGUGGCGGAGGCAGGUGACGGAUGUUGAUGUCAGACUCAGAGAUGUUUUUCUAUCUUUUCAGUUUUGCCAUGUCGAUUUUUAUAUGACUUGUAGUUUGAUUUUUAUGAUAUGAAUGAGGCACAUAUUACCAAGCAAAAAAAAAGACUGAAUCGACAUAUCAUUUUAAGAUUUAUGAAGUCAUCAUAGGUGUCUCAUCGUCGACGAAAAUCUUUCCUCUCACUGAAUACACAUCACCAAAAUUAUAAAAUAAAUCCAAAAAUAAUGCAAGCACCAGAACUUUAAACCCUAGUAAGCUAAAAGUAUCAUUGUUUCUCUAACCAUUCAAUUAGAGGUUGGUUCGUCAUGACAAUUUGUUUAAUUGCCCUCGAGGGUGUGGGGUAAGAUCUCGGGGUGUUCGUCAGGAUCCGGCUCCUGACGAAAGUUCGCCAGAUAGCAUUUCCCCUGAAUAUUUUGCAAACGUUUAGGUGACACGGGCAGGGCAAGAACACAAGUGGAAUUCUCAUGAAACCAAGACAGAAGCUGCAUGGCAGCAAUAUUCCGUGUCGGGCUGCUGCACUGCCCCUGGCCAGUCAAUCAGUCCUACGUACGUACUAGAUUAAGCAGCAGAAAUGCAGAAACAACAGAGACGCAUCAGCAUCAGAGACUGGAAAGGAGGAGAUUGAAAACGAGACAUCAAUGAAAAAGAGAGAGAGAGAAAUGAGACAGAGUGGCUAAACAAACAAAUCUGCAGUGGUGCCAAGUGCCAACAAAGGCAAAGCCGAGCCCUGAAAGCUGCCUUCCCAUCCAUCCAUCCAUCCGCGCGCUUUCUUUUCUUUUAAAGCGCCUCUUCUCCCUCCUCCUCCUCCCCUUCCCCUAAAGCUACCGGCCGGCCGCCCGCUGCUGUGCUGCGUGCGGGAGCAAUGAAGAGGAUCAAGGCGGCGCGCGGGGGAGCAGCGGCGACGGCGCCGACCGACCUGCUCGUCUGCUUCCCCGGGCGGCAGCACCUGGCGCUGAUGCCCAAGUCGAUGUGCAGCCCGUCCAGGGCGACCCUGGACAAGGCGGUGGCCGCGCGCCGGAGACAGCUGCAGCUCCCGGCCGCGCCCUCCACGCGGCACGGGGGAGGAGGGCGCGGUAGCGCUGGUAGCCCGCUGUUCCGCGGCUCUAAGUCUAAGGCGAAGCAGGCCGUCGAGGACGACGAGCCGCAGUCGCCCAAGGUGACUUGCGCCGGGCAGAUCAAGGUCGCCCGGCCAAAGAAGCCUAGGCCGGUGGUGGAGAAGAACGGUAAGGGCGUCGACGGCGGCACUGCUGCGGGGAGGUGGGUCACCGUCGCGGAGGAGAUCGAGCGGCUUCAGGGGCGGAGGAAGAAGGCGAGCUGGCUAGAGGCCGUCGGGAUCAGGAGGGACGCGCUGCCCUUCCUCGGCGGCGCGCUCUGGAGCCUUCGGCACAAGGUGAGGUGCUUCGGGUCGUCGCUCCCCGCCGCGGUGGACUCGUUGGCGGACGACGACGACGACGACGAUGCGGGGGAGCACGAACGCGAAUCCUCCGCCGUCGGAGGCACAGGCAGCGCCGCCGCGAGCGUCUUCUCCAAGUGGCUCAUGGUGUUGGAAAGGAGCCACGACGAACCCCACGAGCAAGACGCCGGAGACGACAAUGACGACGACGGGCUAGAUCAAGAAGUCGGGCGGCCGAGCAAUGAGGCGGGAGACGACUGCUCCAAAGCGCCGUCCGUGCCGCCGCCGCCGAACGCGCUGCUCCUAAUGCGGUGCCGGUCGGCGCCGGCGAAGGGCCUGGCGAGGAAAGGAGCAGAAGCGGGCAGCGAGGAGGCCACGCGGGAGAAGGAGGGCGUGGAGGAGAAGAGGGACGAGCUGGUGUUCAUGAGAACGGCGCCGGACUUCUUGAAGCUGUCCAUCGACAUCGCCAAGGAGACGUGGGUCGUCGGCGGCGUGGACCCCCUCGCGCGCAGCCGGAGCUGGAAGAGGUGACCUGACCUGACCUCUGGUCGCGGUAGGUAGCCGUUGUACAGAGCUCUACAUGUUCGUACGUACUAAUACCUUUCUUGUGCUUCGUCGGUUCCAAUGUUUAUUACUAUUCGCUUUGCAAAAUAGUAUAAAUUGGAGGAGCUACAGAAAAUGUUGUACGUACGUAGAAUGUUUCUCCCCGAUUCAAUGUCGAC